RNAcentral lists this ribosomal RNA (246 nucleotides) under uncultured bacterium. RNAcentral describes it as "partial 16S ribosomal RNA". It matches the Rfam family "Bacterial small subunit ribosomal RNA", at positions 57 to 305 of the family's 1533-position model. The record is from RNAcentral.
GCAAGUCUACUUGAACGCUCUUCGGAGUUAUUAGGGUGGCGGACGGGUGAGUACCACGUAAAGAACUUGCCCCUUAGACUGGGACAACAGUUGGAAACGACUGCUAAUACUGGAUAUUAUGAGAUUCUCGCAUGAGAGACUUAUGAAAGCUAUAUGCGCUAGGGGAGAGCUUUGCGGCCUAUUAGCUAGUUGGUAGUGUAAUGGACUACCAAGGCGACGAUAGGUAGCCGGCCUGAGAGGGUGAAC